This is a long non-coding RNA of Pimephales promelas (fathead minnow), 637 nucleotides long. RefSeq lists it as uncharacterized. NCBI's taxonomy places the organism in Eukaryota, Metazoa, Chordata, Actinopteri, Cypriniformes, Leuciscidae. The record is from RefSeq and is a predicted model, not a curated record.
GCGGUUCUAGAGGCGGGGCCACAGGGGCCUGGGCCCCUGCUGAAAUCUGAUUGGCCCCUGAUUGGCCCCCCUUCCAUCAAUCGUCGACGAGAAGAGCAACCGGAGAAUUUUUUUCCACAACGAUCACAGAUGCAAUUCCACCCCCAAACAAUUGGCGGCACUGCGGUAGUAAUGUGGCAAUGUAAUUUGGGAGAAGAAGCAGUGCUUGAAACUAAUGCGCAAAAUCGGAACUUUUGACUACCAGAACAUCGUCGGUGAUGUUGCCUGUAUACAUGAGACAUAAUCCAUCAAACAGUAAUCCAACUUAGAGACAACUUUUGACAUUCCCUGGUGCCUAGCAGAAAAGUUGUGCUGCUCCACCUGGACCUGAUGACAUUUCCCAGUCCAGAGCAGAUGGUCCAGUGCAACCUGUCCUCAAGGUUUACCCCAAGACACAGCAUGGGAACAGGAAGAGAGCAUUCAUUGAGACCUGGCAAAAGACUUUACGUGGCUGCAGUAUUCUGUGUUUGGAGCAGUCUUAUAUCCAUAAAUAAAUAAAAAAAAUAAUUAAGAACUUUACUGGCACAUUUUUUUGAAAAAUUAAUAACUGCCGAACUGUAUUUGCACCGUACUGAAUAAAUUAUUUUGUGUGCAUGGA